This 212-nucleotide ribosomal RNA is filed under the name uncultured prokaryote. RNAcentral describes it as "partial 16S ribosomal RNA". It matches the Rfam family "Bacterial small subunit ribosomal RNA", at positions 524 to 735 of the family's 1533-position model. The record is from RNAcentral.
UACAGAGGUCUCGAGCGUUAGGCGGAAUCACUGGGCUUAAAGCGUGUGUAGGCGGAUCGGUAAGUGCCUUGUGAAAUCCCACAGCUUAACUGUGGAACUGCUUGGUAUACUGCCAGUCUUGAGCCAGCUAGGGGCUACCGGAACAAAUGGUGGAGCGGUGAAAUGCGUAGAUAUGACAUAGAACACCGAUAGCGAAGGCAGCUUACUACAUG